GUUUGAUCCUGGCUCAGAAUGAACGCUUGCGAUAGGCUUAACACAUGCAAGUUGAACAAGAGUGUAUUGCUUUUGUAGCGAACGGGUGCGUAAGGUGUAGGAAUUUACCUUUUUAAAAGAGUGAAAUACUUUGAGAAAACAUGUUGUUGUAAAAAGAUAAGCCUACAUAAGAUUAGAUAGUUGGUGUGGGAAGGGCGCACCAAGUCGAAGAUCUUUAGCUGAUCUUAGCGGAUGAUCAGCCACACUGGGACUGAGACACGGCCCAGGCUCCCAUGGGAGACAGCAGUGAGGAAUCAUGGACAAUGCACGAAAGUGUGAUCCUGCUAUAUCGCGUGAGUGAUGAAGGGUAUAUUGCUUGUAAAACUCUUUCAGCAAGAACAUGCUUGCAUGUAUAUGGAUAGUGACGUGUCUUGCAGAAGAAGCCCCGGCUAAUAUCUGUGCCAGCAGCCGCGGUAAUACAGAAGGGGCAAGUGUUAUUCGGAAUAAUUGGGCGUAAAUGGCGUGUAGGUUGUGUUUCGUAGCUUUUUGUUAAAUCCUUAUUGAUAUAAUAAGUAAAGCGAAAAGAACGGUUACACUGGAGACUGAGAGGGGAAAGGGGAAUUUCUAGUGGAGAAGUUAAAUUCUUAGAUAUUAGAAGGAACACCGAAAGCGAAAGCACCUUUCUGGCUCAGAUCUGACACUGAGGCGCGAAGGCGUGGGGAGCGAAGCCGAUUAGAUACCGGCGUAGUCCACGCAGUCAACGAUGCU
RNAcentral lists this ribosomal RNA (747 nucleotides) under uncultured Micromonas. Its description in RNAcentral is "partial Bacterial small subunit ribosomal RNA". It matches the Rfam family "Bacterial small subunit ribosomal RNA", at positions 11 to 813 of the family's 1533-position model. The record is from RNAcentral. Lineage: Eukaryota; Viridiplantae; Chlorophyta; Mamiellophyceae; Mamiellales.